CGGAAUGUCGCGUAGUUUGGUAAUCGUAUCUAUUUUGGGUAUAGAAAAUCGCAGGUUCAAAUCCUGCCAUUCCGA
This 75-nucleotide transfer RNA is filed under the name Cryptomonas gyropyrenoidosa. Its description in RNAcentral is "tRNA-Pro". It matches the Rfam family "tRNA". From Rfam's summary of the family: Transfer RNA (tRNA) molecules are approximately 80 nucleotides in length. Their secondary structure includes four short double-helical elements and three loops (D, anti-codon, and T loops). Lineage: Eukaryota; Cryptophyceae; Cryptomonadales; Cryptomonadaceae. The record is from RNAcentral.